RNAcentral lists this ribosomal RNA (301 nucleotides) under uncultured bacterium. RNAcentral's name for it is "partial 16S ribosomal RNA". It matches the Rfam family "Bacterial small subunit ribosomal RNA", at positions 509 to 807 of the family's 1533-position model. The record is from RNAcentral.
CAGCCGCCGCGGUAAUACGAAGGGGGCUAGCGUUGUUCGGAAUUACUGGGCGUAAAGCGCACGUAGGCGGAUAUUUAAGUCAGGGGUGAAAUCCCGCAGAUCAACUGCGGAACUGCCUUUGAUACUGGGUAUCUUGAGUAUGGAAGAGGUUAGUGGAAUUGCGAGUGUAGAGGUGUAAUUCGUAGAUAUUCGCAGGAACACCAGUGGCGAAGGCGGCUAACUGGUCCAUAACUGACGCUGAGGUGCGAAAGCGUGGGGAGCAAACAGGAUUAGAUACCCCCGUAGUCCCUGUCUCUUAUAC